AAAAAUGGUUAUCGUGUCUCAGCCAACUAGGCAAUAUUCCGUCUCGCGUCUAUGAGAAAUUUUUAAUUUACGACAACCGACUGAACGGAUGAAUGGUGGACAACGUCAGCAUAGGCAAACGGAUAAUACUUAGAUGGGGAUGGUAUAACAAUGAGCCAAACUAACCUCCGAGUGAAUUCACCUAUGGUGGACAACUCCUUUCUUCCUGGUAUCACAAUGAGCCAAACUAGCCUCCGAGUAAACUCACCUAUGGUGGACAACCC
Molecule: long non-coding RNA, 263 nt
Organism: Stomoxys calcitrans (stable fly)
Lineage: Eukaryota; Metazoa; Arthropoda; Insecta; Diptera; Muscidae
Exons: 3
Source: RefSeq, a predicted model, not a curated record